UGCGUAACCCACUGGUACACCAUAUAUCCAUCACUCCACGUUGUUCUUCUUCGACCACGUGUAGAAAGAUGAACGAUUUGCUUCGCGAUGCCAUAGCAAAUCUGCAGACUUAUUUUUCUGGUUCCAAAAAUACUCAAGAACUGUUAUUGCGAUUAAAACAAUAUAUCAUCCCAAUUGAAGAGAGGAAGUAUUGCAGAAUACUGCCCACUAGUAAUAUCAUAUAUUUCACUGGAUACUAAUAUACUAUAUACCAGAUCUUAUUGCCUCGUUCUAAUAUACACAAACUAAUUACUAAGACAAUAUUACGAAUUGAUACUAUAAAGGAAAUAUCAUGCAAGACUUUUAAUGUUUGAUACAAUGCUUAGUAUGCUAAAUGAUAUGUAAAAUUAUUUAUUCCUGCGACGCUAAUUAAUCAUAAUCUGUCAAACACCAAUGUCCGGUUGUGAGGAACAUUACACCGUUACACAGUUAAACCAUGCACAUGACGAAAAUCAGACGUCAGCAUGAGAGAACCUGCGUAUCCACGUAUCCACUGCACUAAAAUAUAGACUAUAGAGCAACCUAUCACAAUUUGAUCUAUAACUAACUGCAUGCCUCGUUCUCAAAAUAACGCAUGACAAUUUGAUAUAUUAAUGCUAGUCUAACUGUAUAUGCCUCGUUCUCCAAAUAACGACUUGACUUCGUAUCCGCGUAUCCACGAAAAUAUAGAGCUACCUUUAACACGUGCACUAUGACAAUUUAAUAUAUUAAUGCUAAGUCACUGCAUGCCUCGUAGCUACCGUUACCAAUCUAUUUAUUAUUAAUCUAUUGAGAAUAAAUAUAGAUGUAUUAAUACAUCGUACACAUGUUUGAAAGCCAUAGCUUAAAAUAUGGACGGGUAUUCUGCAAUCGCUCUGGACGAUAUUGCAAUGUUUGUUCAGAAUUAUGGAAUCAAAAACAAUGAAACUUGCAGAGUUACAAAAGCAAAGAAAAGAGUUACAAAAAAGAGUUACAAAAGCAAAGAAAAGAGGUACAAAAAAGAGUUACAAAAGCAAAGAAAAGAGUUACAAAAAAGAGUUACAAAAGCAAAGAAAAGAGUUACAAAAAAGAGUUACAAAAGCAAAGAAAAUCAUGUGGGAAUGGCGAAUAUAACUUAAUAAAAUAUGUCAGAUGUCAUCACCACACAAGAUAUGAAGCCACAAUGUGUCCUGCUCAGAUUUUGGCAUCAGGGAAGCGCAUCUAAUAAGAAGAGUAUCCGCUGAAUGUUUCGUUUAAGGGCGCGGGUCAAUGAUGCGUCCGACUAUCAAUGAGGAGUCCGACUGUCUACGGAAAAAAAAUUUUGCAUCGUCACUGGGUAACAAUAUACGGUAGGCAUGCAUGCUCAAUCAAAAACAAUUUGGUUGUUUGAAAUUUUUAUCUGUAAACCACAAUUGGAAAUUUAAAAAGCAAAAAUAUUUUCUGUUUGCAAAGCAAAAAUUUCCCGCGCCAGAUAAACGACAUCCGGGACACCGGUGCAGACACGGAAAAUACGGACCACAGUCCGGAUAUGGGUUUUUACGGACCGCUUGUCGACCAAUCAGAAUAGAGAAUUUUGAAAAGCCAUAUAAUAAUAAAAGUUACUGGAAGUAACAUUGAGUAUUACAGUCAAACCUGAUGUUCUGUUCCCAU
Molecule: non-coding RNA, 1647 nt
Organism: Paramuricea clavata
Lineage: Eukaryota; Metazoa; Cnidaria; Anthozoa; Malacalcyonacea; Plexauridae
Source: the annotation of a GenBank genome assembly